This 506-nucleotide ribosomal RNA is filed under the name uncultured bacterium. Its description in RNAcentral is "partial 16S ribosomal RNA". It matches the Rfam family "Bacterial small subunit ribosomal RNA", at positions 30 to 523 of the family's 1533-position model. The record is from RNAcentral.
AUUGAACGCUGGCGGCAGGCCUAACACAUGCAAGUCGAACGGUAACAGGAAACAGCUUGCUGUUUCGCUGACGAGUGGCGGACGGGUGAGUAAUGUCUGGGAAACUGCCUGAUGGAGGGGGAUAACUACUGGAAACGGUAGCUAAUACCGCAUAACGUCGCAAGACCAAAGAGGGGGACCUUCGGGCCUCUUGCCAUCGGAUGUGCCCAGAUGGGAUUAGCUUGUUGGUGGGGUAACGGCUUACCAAGGCGACGAUCCCUAGCUGGUCUGAGAGGAUGACCAACCACACUGGAACUGAGACACGAUCCAGACUCCUACGGGAGGCAGCAGUGGGGAAUAUUGCACAAUGGGCGCAAGCCUGAUGCAGCCAUGCCGCGUGUAUGAAGAAGGCCUUCGGGUUGUAAAGUACUUUCAGCGGGGAGGAAGGGAGUAAAGUUAAUACCUUUACUCAUUGACGUUACCCGCAGAAGAAGCACCGGCUAACUCCGUGCCAGCAGCCGCUGUAA